RNAcentral lists this unclassified non-coding RNA (271 nucleotides) under Hevea brasiliensis (rubber tree). The record is from RNAcentral. Lineage: Eukaryota; Viridiplantae; Streptophyta; Magnoliopsida; Malpighiales; Euphorbiaceae.
UCCAACCUUUUUCAUUACAGCUUUUUGUACUAGAUAGACUCUGAUAAUUAUAAAUUUAAAGCAAGCAACGAACUGUAACUUCAACUUACUAACUGACGACUAAAGAAAAGCAGAGACCAAAAACACAAAUCUUAAAUGCAAGUAAGAAAAGAAGUAGGACUUGGUGGUACUGGGAUGUCAACUGUCCCUUCCAACAUCAAAAGAACCUUCUUCAUGGAAGGGCGGAUGGACGGUUCAUCCAGAGUGCACCAAAGCCCCACUUUGAUCAUUC